GGUUAAGCGACUAAGCGUACACGGUGGAUGCCCUGGCAGUCAGAGGCGAUGAAGGGCGUGCUAAUCUGCGAUAAGCGCCGGUAAGGUGAUAUGAACCGUUAUAACCGGCGAUACCCGAAUGGGGAAACCCAGUGUGACUCGUCACACUAUCAUUAACUGAAUCCAUAGGUUAAUGAGGCGGAACCGGGGG
RNAcentral lists this ribosomal RNA (190 nucleotides) under Salmonella enterica subsp. enterica serovar Agona str. ATCC 51957. RNAcentral describes it as "partial 23S ribosomal RNA". It matches the Rfam family "Bacterial large subunit ribosomal RNA", at positions 1 to 190 of the family's 2925-position model. The record is from RNAcentral. Lineage: Bacteria; Pseudomonadati; Pseudomonadota; Gammaproteobacteria; Enterobacterales; Enterobacteriaceae.